This 201-nucleotide long non-coding RNA is filed under the name Physcomitrium patens. RNAcentral describes it as "long non-coding RNA (PPAT_LNC000801)". The record is from RNAcentral. Lineage: Eukaryota; Viridiplantae; Streptophyta; Bryopsida; Funariales; Funariaceae.
GAUUUGGUUGUAAGUGAUAGAGUCCAAAAAGCAUUGCAUAUCUCUUACUGUUCUUGAAAUCUUUCACUUUAUGAUAGUCUUGACUUUUUUUUGGACCCAUCAUUAGGCCUUUGUUGGAAAUGAUAUAUCCUAGGAAGACAGCUUGAAUAGUGUAGAAUAUACACUUUUUUAUCUUAUUAUAUAAUUAUUUAUUUUUAAAUU